AGAGCCCAAGAUUGAAAGCUGGCGUCUUCGGCGUCUGCAUUGUAAUCUCAAGAAGUGUUUUCCGCUUCGGACCAUGCCUAAGUCCCUUGGAAAAGGGCAUCAUAGAGGGUGAUAAUCCCGUACAUGGCAUGGAGCGCCCGAAGCUUUGUGAUACGCUUUCUAAGAGUCGAGUUGUUUGGGAAUGCAGCUCAAAAUGGGUGGUAAAUGCCAUCUAAGGCUAAAUAUUGGGGAGAGACCGAUAGCGAACAAGUACAGUGAUGGAAAGAUGAAAAGAACUUUGAAAAGAGAGUUAAACAGUACGUGAAAUUGCCAAAAGGGAAGGGUAGGAGGUCAGAGAUGCGUCUUGGGAUUCAGCCUUGCUUUUUGCAUGGUGUUUUUCCCAAGUUGCAGGCCAACGUCGGUUUUGGGCACUGGAGAAGGGUGGAAGGAACGUGGCACCUCUCGGGGUGUGUUAUAGCCUUCUGCUGGAUACAGCGACCGAGACCGAGGACAGCAGCGUACUCGCAAGAGCGGGCCUUCGGGCACCUUUACGCUUAGGGCGUUGGCAUAAUGGCCCUCUACCACCCGUCUUGAAA
Molecule: ribosomal RNA, 575 nt
Filed under: Pseudozyma pruni
Lineage: Eukaryota; Fungi; Basidiomycota; Ustilaginomycetes; Ustilaginales; Ustilaginaceae
Description: partial large subunit ribosomal RNA
Rfam family: Eukaryotic large subunit ribosomal RNA
Source: RNAcentral